GGGGAUUUAGCUCAGUGGUAGAGCGUUUGCCUAGCAAGCGCAAGGCCUUGGGUUCGGUCCCCAGCUCCG
This is a non-coding RNA of Rattus norvegicus (Norway rat), 69 nucleotides long. The record is from Rfam. NCBI's taxonomy places the organism in Eukaryota, Metazoa, Chordata, Mammalia, Rodentia, Muridae.